ACUGCUGGUUCCUAUUUCCAAAC
RNAcentral lists this unclassified non-coding RNA (23 nucleotides) under Mus musculus (house mouse). RNAcentral describes it as "oocyte_clustered_small_RNA12965". The record is from RNAcentral. Lineage: Eukaryota; Metazoa; Chordata; Mammalia; Rodentia; Muridae.